Molecule: long non-coding RNA, 1117 nt
Filed under: Pogona vitticeps (central bearded dragon)
Lineage: Eukaryota; Metazoa; Chordata; Lepidosauria; Squamata; Agamidae
Description: lncRNA (ENSPVIG00000021332.1)
Source: RNAcentral
AAAGUAGUUAAUAAAUAGAUGGAUAGUCUAAAUCAGAAACAGUUGAGGCUGGUCUAUAUAGUCUUAUUAAUUGCCCUUGUCCUAUUCAGUGCUAACAAUAUUUUCCACCAACUCAGUGAAGUCGAUGGGGGACAUUAUUAUGAAUAGGAAGAGAUUCACUUGUUUCUUUGGCUUUCUCUUGGCAUUUGGUAUUUUAUGGGCUGGGUGUUUAUAUUUUUUUUGGCAUCUAUUGGUCAUAUAAUGUGGGGCAAGAAUGGUUCUGUUCCUGCUGUCCCCUUUGUGGAGAAACUGCAGCAUCAAAAAUGACAGCUUCCCAGGGUUCAGCUGGCCAGCAGUCACUGACCAUCCCUAAGAUGUCACAGCAGUGGCUGGUGGAAUUGUGAGGUAUGGUGUCCUUAAAAGGGAAUGUGGAGGCAAGAUCAGGAGGCAGCAGACAGAGGUGGUGGACCAGUAAGGAAGGGUGAGUGAAGCAGAAGAGGAAGAUGACAAGACACAGCAGGGACUAGGAGAGUGGCUGAGGAAGGCUUGUGGAGAGGAACAGGCCCAUGUGAGGAGGCAGGAAGAACCAAAUACAGAGGCACGGCAUUAUUGGCAUGGCUCUGCCUUCACCGAAGACAGAGCACCAGGCAGAACUGUCUCAGGGCCACCUUCAACAACAGUGGAGCAGCAGAGUCCCAACAAAAGUAUUCUGUGCAGGGGCCUACUGGAAUGCUAAAGAAGGAAGCUAGAACUACCUGGUGGAAUAACUUCAUCCAGAAAGUGAUCUCAAAACUGUAAGCCAAUAUUUGGAUUUCUCUCACACACACCACCCCCUCAGCAUGGCAGAUAGUUAGAUAAUGGAUGACAGAAAGACCCACCACCCCCAGAACAUCCCUCUGCUGGAGGGAAUUGCAAUUUGGUUAUACCCUUUGGAUGCAGAGGAAAAGCAGUAAGAUUAGCUCAGUCUCAUCCCCUCCCUUAGAAUAGGGAAAAAAGAUUGGUCUCAAGAACUGUUUGCCCAAACUGUCCUGCAUUUAGCACAGAGCAAGAGUAGUCAGACUGCUACAUCUGUGCCAAAUUUGGUGCUGAUCGAAAGUCUAGUUUCAAGGUUAUAUACUUUGGGGGGGGGUGCCUUAUU